This 462-nucleotide ribosomal RNA is filed under the name uncultured bacterium. Its description in RNAcentral is "partial 16S ribosomal RNA". It matches the Rfam family "Bacterial small subunit ribosomal RNA", at positions 28 to 507 of the family's 1533-position model. The record is from RNAcentral.
GACGAACGCUGGCGGCGUGCUUAACACAUGCCAGUCGAACGGAAAGGCCCUUCGGGGUACUCGAGUGGCGAACGGGUGGGUAACACGUGGGUGAUCUGCCCUGCACUUUGGGAUAAGCCUGGGAAACUGGGGCUAAUACCGAAUAGGACCCCGCGCUUCAUGGUGUGUGGUGGAAAGCUUUUGCGGGGUGGGAUGGGCCCGCGGCCUAUCAGCUUGUUGGUGGGGUAAUGGCCUACCAAGGCGACGACGGGUAGCCGGCCUGAGAGGGUGACCGGCCACACUGGGACUGAGAUACGGCCCAGACUCCUACGGGAGGCAGCAGUGGGGAAUAUUGCACAAUGGGCGCAAGCCUGAUGCAGCGACGCCGCGUGAGGGAUGACGGCCUUCGGGUUGUAAACCUCUUUCAAUAGGGACGAAGCGCAAGUGACGGUACCUAUAGAAGAAGCACCGGCCAACUACGUG